AAUACAUGCAAAGUCGAGCGGACAGAUGGGAGCUUGCCCCUGAUGUUAGCGGCGGACGGGUGAGUAACACGUGGGUAACCUGCCUGUAAGACUGGGAUAACUCCGGGUAAACGGGGCUAAUACCGGAUGGUUGUUUGAACCGCAUGGUUCAGACAUAAAAGGUGGC
Molecule: ribosomal RNA, 166 nt
Filed under: uncultured Lactobacillus sp.
Lineage: Bacteria; Bacillati; Bacillota; Bacilli; Lactobacillales; Lactobacillaceae
Description: partial 16S ribosomal RNA
Rfam family: Bacterial small subunit ribosomal RNA
Source: RNAcentral